GGCACGUUGGUCUAUCCCUGUCAAGAUUUCGGUCGCAGCUCACUGCGUGGUUUGUUCUCCCGGGAUGCAGAACGGACAACUCCGGACAAAGCAUGAAGGCCGAAGACGAACUAGAACUCCAUUGAAAAAGGAAACAGCUGCCACACAGAACCACUAACGGGCCCCUAAAGGCCGGAUUGCUGCGCACCUAAGAAGACGGCACAAGUCCGGAGGCAACCUGCCUCAAAACAAAAGCGAAAAUCAAGAUCAAACCGGACUAAGAAAAUCAGAGUACCUUUAAAUCCGACACUGAAGAAGGAGAAGGACAAUGACCUCUACGCAACCCUUUUUUCCUGCGUGACGAGCGGUGUGUCUCGUCUUCCCCUGUGUUCCCCUCUGGUUCUCUGGCUGCCUCUCUGGCUGCCUCUUGAAUCUCGACCUGCCCCAUGGACACGGACAUUUUGUCGCCUCUCUGUUGCCCUCACUUCCUGCUUGUCUCUCGGAUCUACGAGCCUGCCCCGCUCCUUUUGGACUUGCCUCUUGCUCAACACUCCGGUAACACUUAACAGCUAAUCUCCACACAUAGUCACACAACAUACACUUUUGGAUUAGUUCCCA
Nerophis ophidion (straightnose pipefish) is the source of this 597-nucleotide long non-coding RNA. RefSeq lists it as uncharacterized. The record is from RefSeq and is a predicted model, not a curated record. The transcript is spliced from 3 exons. Lineage: Eukaryota; Metazoa; Chordata; Actinopteri; Syngnathiformes; Syngnathidae.